UACGUAGGGGGCAAGCGUUAUCCGGAUUUACUGGGUGUAAAGGGAGCGUAGACGGAUAAGCAAGUCUGAUGUGAAAAUCCGGGGCCCAACCCCGGAAUUGCAUUGGAAACUGCAUAUUUAGAGUGUCGGAGAGGCAAGUGGAAUUCCUGGUGUAGCGGUGAAAUGCGUAGAUAUCAGGAGGAACACCAGUGGCGAAGGCGGCUUGCUGGACGAUGACUGACGUUGAGGCUCGAAAGCGUGGGGAGCAAACAGG
This 253-nucleotide ribosomal RNA is filed under the name uncultured bacterium. RNAcentral's name for it is "partial 16S ribosomal RNA". It matches the Rfam family "Bacterial small subunit ribosomal RNA", at positions 524 to 776 of the family's 1533-position model. The record is from RNAcentral.